UAAUGAAGCUCAACUAGAGGAGCAUUUGGAGCACCUACAGGAAACAGGUUAUUCCAUACAUGAGGAGGAAGCCCAACAUAACCUUCGUCUGCAGUGAACUCAAGAACACCCGAGUGGGUUGUCUGCUGCUUUGGGUCAUUAGCCUUUGUCUCAGAUGGACUUUCUUGAUGAAUCACUGAUAAUUGCAAAUAUAUUGGUCCUUUGUCGAAAGCACCUUGAUCAGACAAAUCUGUGAAACAGGAAGUAGGCAAUUUAAUCUUGUCUCCACUACCGUUAAAAGAUACAGCUUCCAGUAUACGAGAAAACAUUAUUCCUCUCCCAACAAAUAAAUUUUCUUGCAUUUGCUCAUCAGCCUUGAGCUGGGCUUCAAUAGCAUCAAGCCUUCGAGAUCUCUGAGCAGCUUCAAUGG
This 409-nucleotide unclassified non-coding RNA is filed under the name Hevea brasiliensis (rubber tree). The record is from RNAcentral. Lineage: Eukaryota; Viridiplantae; Streptophyta; Magnoliopsida; Malpighiales; Euphorbiaceae.